UCCCUGGUGGCUUGGACAGUAAAGCGUCUGCCUGCAAUGCGGGAGACCUGGGUUCGAUCCCUGGGUUGGGAA
This 72-nucleotide transfer RNA is filed under the name Ovis aries (sheep). It matches the Rfam family "tRNA". Rfam says of the family: Transfer RNA (tRNA) molecules are approximately 80 nucleotides in length. Their secondary structure includes four short double-helical elements and three loops (D, anti-codon, and T loops). Further hydrogen bonds mediate the characteristic L-shaped molecular structure. tRNAs have two regions of fundamental functional importance: the anti-codon, which is responsible for specific mRNA codon recognition, and the 3' end, to which the tRNAs corresponding amino acid is attached (by aminoacyl-tRNA synthetases). tRNAs cope with the degeneracy of the genetic code in two manners: having more than one tRNA (with a specific anti-codon) for a particular amino acid; and 'wobble' base-pairing, i.e. permitting non-standard base-pairing at the 3rd anti-codon position. Lineage: Eukaryota; Metazoa; Chordata; Mammalia; Artiodactyla; Bovidae. The record is from Rfam by way of RNAcentral.